RNAcentral lists this ribosomal RNA (253 nucleotides) under uncultured bacterium. Its description in RNAcentral is "partial 16S ribosomal RNA". It matches the Rfam family "Bacterial small subunit ribosomal RNA", at positions 524 to 776 of the family's 1533-position model. The record is from RNAcentral.
UACGGAGGGGGCUAGCGUUGUUCGGAAUUACUGGGCGUAAAGCGCGCGUAGGCGGACCUGCAAGUCAGGGGUGAAAUCCCGGGGCUCAACCCCGGAACUGCCUUUGAUACUGCGAAUCUCGAGUCCGGAAGAGGUGAGUGGAAUUCCUAGUGUAGAGGUGAAAUUCGUAGAUAUUAGGAAGAACACCAGUGGCGAAGGCGGCUCACUGGUCCGGUACUGACGCUGAGGUGCGAAAGCGUGGGGAGCAAACAGG